CCACUCCAAACUAACUCUGUUUUCUGGUCAAUUGUGUGCAUGUCUCACUCCACGGAUGGCUGGGACAUCAAGCUUAUCUUGGCCCAGAAGUCCCCAGAAGACAGGGAAUACAGCCGUGUGAACUCAGCAUGAAAUGACAUGGACCCAGAAUGACAGAGGUGCCAGCAACAUCCUGACCCACUGGGAUGGAGGGAAAUGGUGGUAAGGACCCUGUACCUCCCUUUGCUUACGAGCUGGAAGAGCAAACCUGGUUUGCAUGGGAGGCACAAGCGACAGACUGCUCAGUCUGGCUUCCUUGCUCAUCAAACACAGCGAAUUCACCAACAGGCAGGGGCCACACUUAUCUGAGCUUAAAGGCCCCCAUCUCCCACAUUAUUAAAAUAUAGCCAACAACUAGGAAGUAGCUACGUGGGAUGUGCUCCAAGGCACCCUAUUUUCCUUCCACAAAAAGUGGCAACGAUGUGGACCCUGCUGCAGCAUGGUUUAUGCAUGCCCAGUGCAGCCUUUGUCAAUCAGUACACCAGCAGGACACUGGGUGAGAAACUGGGAACACAGAUACUCCAAAAGAGUUUGCAGAUUGAACCCCUAAACUGUAAACUCCUUGAAAGCAGGUUAAAGUCUCACUUGUUUUCUACAGCGUCAGCAAGUGUCUGACAAAGAAAAUGCUCACUGGACACUUGCUCACACAGAGAGUGACUCAGGACAUGUCCCACUUGAGUUCUGAAGUAA
Molecule: long non-coding RNA, 729 nt
Organism: Mus musculus (house mouse)
Lineage: Eukaryota; Metazoa; Chordata; Mammalia; Rodentia; Muridae
Product: predicted gene 4793
Exons: 2
Source: RefSeq, marked validated